UGCGGAGCUGGUCCCGGGAGA
This 21-nucleotide microRNA is filed under the name Sus scrofa (pig). Its description in RNAcentral is "ssc-mir180". Lineage: Eukaryota; Metazoa; Chordata; Mammalia; Artiodactyla; Suidae. The record is from RNAcentral.